RNAcentral lists this ribosomal RNA (494 nucleotides) under uncultured bacterium. RNAcentral's name for it is "partial 16S ribosomal RNA". It matches the Rfam family "Bacterial small subunit ribosomal RNA", at positions 28 to 507 of the family's 1533-position model. The record is from RNAcentral.
GAUGAACGCUGGCGGCGUGCCUAAUACAUGCAAGUCGAGCGAACAGACGAGGAGCUUGCUCCUCUGACGUUAGCGGCGGACGGGUGAGUAACACGUGGAUAACCUACCUAUAAGACUGGGAUAACUUCGGGAAACCGGAGCUAAUACCGGAUAAUAUAUUGAACCGCAUGGUUCAAUAGUGAAAGACGGUUUUGCUGUCACUUAUAGAUGGAUCCGCGCCGCAUUAGCUAGUUGGUAAGGUAACGGCUUACCAAGGCAACGAUGCGUAGCCGACCUGAGAGGGUGAUCGGCAACACUGGAACGGAGACACGGACAAGACUCCGACGGGAGGCGGUGGUAGGGAAUCGACCGCAAUGGGCGAAAGCCUGACGGAGCAACGCGGCGUGAGUGAUGAAGGUCUUCGGAUCGUAAACCUCUGUUAGGGAAGAACAAAUGUGUAAGUAAAUAUGCACGUCUUGACGGUACCUAAUCAGAAAGCCACGGCUAACUACGUG